This 945-nucleotide ribosomal RNA is filed under the name Triticum aestivum (bread wheat). RNAcentral's name for it is "partial small subunit ribosomal RNA". Lineage: Eukaryota; Viridiplantae; Streptophyta; Magnoliopsida; Poales; Poaceae. The record is from RNAcentral.
AUGGCGAGCUCGGCGCCUCCCUUCCUCCUCCUCCUCCUCUUCGUCCUCGUCGCCGCCGCCGCGGCCUCGGAGGAGCGCCCGCGCGUCACCCCCACCUUCAUCCACUGCCACCCGGCGCAGGCAACCGCCAACGCCAGCAGCGCCAAGAACGCCAUGGCGUUCCAAGCCAACGUGAUGCCCCUCCUCGCCAAGCUCCCCUCCGCCGCCGCGCCCAUGGGCUUCGCGUCCCUGGGGUCCGCCGGAGUGGUCGGACGCGACCGUGCGUUCGUCCGCGGGCUCUGCUUCGGGCACGCCACGCCGUCCCAGUGCCGCGAGUGCCUGGCCGCCGCGGCCAAGAAGCUCGCCGACGCCUGCGGCGCCCGCGGCCGGCGCGCCGGCGUCUGGACGGACGGUUGUUUCGCGUCUUACGCCGACGCGAACGACUCCUCGCCCUACUCCGAUAGCUUCCGCGCGCGCAUCAUCUCCGGCGCCGCCGCGCUCACCACCAGCACCUCCUACGAGCUGCAGAGCCUCGCCGACCUGGCGUGGCGCACGGGGCCGGUCGUGGCCACCAGCGCCGGGAUGCAGGUGGCCGUGGACUGGAACGCCGCGACGAGCGACUACAGGAAGAACAGCACGGUGCGCGUGCUGACGCAGUGCGCGCGGGACCGCAUGGCGGAGGAGUGCGCGUGGUGCGUCCAGUACUCGGCGCGGGUGGCGGAGACCUGCGCCUGGUCCUGGUGCCCCCGGCACUCGGCGCGGGCGGGGGACACCUGCUGCUGGGGCCUCGACGCGUGGCGCGACGGCGUGGCGGGCGCCGUCGUCGGCUUCGACUGCUACCUGCGCUUCAACGUCGCCGUCGCCACCGCCACUUCCACUGCGCCGGCGCGGGUGCCCCUGCUACAAAGGCUCGGCGAGCAGAGCACGCUGCACGCUCUCGUCUUCAUCUUCUUGGCUAUGGGUUGA